Molecule: unclassified non-coding RNA, 371 nt
Filed under: Hevea brasiliensis (rubber tree)
Lineage: Eukaryota; Viridiplantae; Streptophyta; Magnoliopsida; Malpighiales; Euphorbiaceae
Source: RNAcentral
GCCACACCAAUGUAAAGAGGAAAGUUAGUUUACCUUUCUAGUGCCAAAAUUCCGAUGAGCAGCACUUACUAAAGAUACCUUUUUAACGGCAAAAUAUCUUUUCGUGUAUCUUAUGUGUGACAAACCUGCCAUCUUGUCUUGUAUUGAUUUGAUGAUCUGCUGGGUAGACACCAAUCAGGUUUUGGGAGAUGAGACUGAUUUUUUAAACAUCUUAUGCUUGUUUCUCUGAUUGGCGGGCCUUAGUUAUGAUAUAUAAUGCAGCAUUAGGAAUUGCAGUUUCUACCUCUCGGUGACCUUGCAUUAAAAGUUAGAUUCUUCUUUUAUGACACCUUUAUGUUUAUGAUUACAGUCUUCAGGUAUCAAGGUAGGAU